This 84-nucleotide transfer RNA is filed under the name Pseudocercospora musae. RNAcentral describes it as "Mycosphaerella musicola tRNA". It matches the Rfam family "tRNA". Rfam says of the family: Transfer RNA (tRNA) molecules are approximately 80 nucleotides in length. Their secondary structure includes four short double-helical elements and three loops (D, anti-codon, and T loops). Further hydrogen bonds mediate the characteristic L-shaped molecular structure. tRNAs have two regions of fundamental functional importance: the anti-codon, which is responsible for specific mRNA codon recognition, and the 3' end, to which the tRNAs corresponding amino acid is attached (by aminoacyl-tRNA synthetases). tRNAs cope with the degeneracy of the genetic code in two manners: having more than one tRNA (with a specific anti-codon) for a particular amino acid; and 'wobble' base-pairing, i.e. permitting non-standard base-pairing at the 3rd anti-codon position. Lineage: Eukaryota; Fungi; Ascomycota; Dothideomycetes; Mycosphaerellales; Mycosphaerellaceae. The record is from Rfam by way of RNAcentral.
GGUUGUGUAGUGUAGCGGUUAUCACUUCAGAUUUUGAGCAUACCAAAAGUUCUGAUAACCCCGGUUCGAAUCCGGGCACGACCU